RNAcentral lists this ribosomal RNA (253 nucleotides) under uncultured bacterium. Its description in RNAcentral is "partial 16S ribosomal RNA". It matches the Rfam family "Bacterial small subunit ribosomal RNA", at positions 524 to 776 of the family's 1533-position model. The record is from RNAcentral.
UACGAAGGGGGCUAGCGUUGCCCGGAAUCACUGGGCGUAAAGCGCACGUAGGCGGACUUUCAAGUCAGGGGUGAAAUCCCGGAGCUCAACUUCGGAAUUGCCUUUGAUACUGUUGGUCUCGAGUCCGGAAGAGGUGGGUGGAAUUCCUAGUGUAGAGGUGAAAUUCGUAGAUAUUAGGAAGAACACCGGUGGCGAAGGCGGCCCACUGGUCCGGUACUGACGCUGAGGUGCGAAAGCGUGGGGAGCAAACAGG